GAAUCCGCUAAGGAGUGUGUAAAAACUCACCUGCCGAAUGAACUAGCCCUGAAAAUGGAUGACGCUUAAGCGGGUUGCCGACACCAGACCGUUUCGAUAAGAAGCGAUCGAAAUGAGUAGGAGGGCGUGGCGGUUUGUUGUGAAGGAUAAGACGCAAGUCUGUCUGAAACGGCCGCUAGUGCAGAUCUUGGUGGUAGUAGCAAAUAUUCAAGCGAGAUCCUUGAAGGGCGAAGCGGGGAAGGGUUCCACGCGAACAUUGAUUGGGCGUGGGUGAGUCGUUCCUAAGCCGGGUGGUAAUCGUUCUUCGAUCGGCGAAAGGGAAGCGGGUUAAAAUUCUCGCACACGGAUGUGGAAGCGGUGACGCAAUUUGAGGUGGAGACGUUAGCGGUGGCACUGGGCAGAGUUUUCUUUUCUGUUUAACCUAUGACUGCACUCUGUGGAAUUCGAUUAUCGGGCGAAACAGGUGCUUAUGGGAAGAGCGUCGGGGUGUCCCCAGCGUCCAGUAUGCCACCGAUAGCCCUUGAAAAUCCAUCUGCAAUGAAAUUUCACGCCGUGGCGUACCGAUAACCGCAUCAGGUCCCCAAGGUGAACAGCCUCUGCUCAAUAUGAACAAUGCAGGUAAGGGAAGUCGGCA
This 634-nucleotide ribosomal RNA is filed under the name Corallinales sp. ARS-2011. RNAcentral describes it as "eukaryotic LSU rRNA". It matches the Rfam family "Eukaryotic large subunit ribosomal RNA", at positions 1264 to 1919 of the family's 3401-position model. Lineage: Eukaryota; Rhodophyta; Florideophyceae; Corallinales. The record is from RNAcentral.